ACGGGUGAGUAACGCGUGGUCAACCUACCGUUGAGUGGGGGAGUAACUAGCCGAAAGGUUAGCUAAUACCGCAUACGUCUCCGAGGGGCAUCCCUUGGCGAUAAAAGGAGCAAUCCGCUCGAUGACGGGACCGCGUCCCAUUAGCUAGAUGGUGGGGUAACGGCCUACCAUGGCUCCGAUGGGUAGCUGGUUUGAGAGAGCGACCAGCCACACUGGGACUGAGAAACGGCCCAG
Molecule: ribosomal RNA, 234 nt
Filed under: uncultured bacterium
Lineage: Bacteria
Description: partial 16S ribosomal RNA
Rfam family: Bacterial small subunit ribosomal RNA
Source: RNAcentral